This 404-nucleotide ribosomal RNA is filed under the name Actinomycetes bacterium. Its description in RNAcentral is "Actinobacteria bacterium partial 16S ribosomal RNA". It matches the Rfam family "Bacterial small subunit ribosomal RNA", at positions 355 to 776 of the family's 1533-position model. The record is from RNAcentral. Lineage: Bacteria; Bacillati; Actinomycetota; Actinomycetes.
UGGGGAAUAUUGGACAAUGGGCGCAAGCCUGAUCCAGCCAUGCCGCGUGAGUGAUGAAGGCCCUAGGGUUGUAAAGCUCUUUCACCGGUGAAGAUAAUGACGGUAACCGGAGAAGAAGCCCCGGCUAACUUCGUGCCAGCAGCCGCGGUAAUACGAAGGGGGCUAGCGUUGUUCGGGUUUACGGGGAGUAAAGCGCACGUAGGCGGACUUUUAAGUCAGGGGUGAAAUCCCGGGGCUCAACCCCGGAACUGCCUUUGGUACUGGAAGUCUUGAGUAUGGUAGAGGUGGGUGGAAUUCCGAGUGGAGAGGUGAGAUUCGUAGAUAUUCGAGGGAAAACCAGUGGCGAAGGAGGCUCACUGGACCAUUACUGACGCUGAGGUGCGAAAGCGUGGGGAGCAAACAGG